RNAcentral lists this ribosomal RNA (439 nucleotides) under uncultured bacterium. Its description in RNAcentral is "partial 16S ribosomal RNA". It matches the Rfam family "Bacterial small subunit ribosomal RNA", at positions 339 to 795 of the family's 1533-position model. The record is from RNAcentral.
CUACGGGAGGCUCCAGUGAGGAAUAUUGCACAAUGGAGGAAACUCUGAUGCAGCAACGCCGCGUGGAGGAUGACGCAUUUCGGUGUGUAAACUCCUUUUAUAUGUCAAGAAAAUGACGGUAGCAUAUGAAUAAGCACCGGCUAACUCCGUGCCAGCAGCCGCGGUAAUACGGAGGGUGCAAGCGUUACUCGGAAUCACUGGGCGUAAAGGACGCGUAGGCGGGAUAUCAAGUCAGGUGUGAAAUCCUACAGCUUAACUGUAGGACUGCACUUGAAACUGGUAACCUAGAGUAUGGGAGGGGGAGAUGGAAUUAGUGGUGUAGGGGUAAAAUCCGUAGAUAUCACUAGGAAUACCUAAAGCGAAGGCGAUCUCCUGGAACAUAACUGACGCUAAGGCGUGAAAGCGUGGGGAGCAAACAGGAUUAGAUACCCCGGUAGUC